This 468-nucleotide ribosomal RNA is filed under the name uncultured bacterium. RNAcentral's name for it is "partial 16S ribosomal RNA". It matches the Rfam family "Bacterial small subunit ribosomal RNA", at positions 28 to 507 of the family's 1533-position model. The record is from RNAcentral.
GACGAACGCUGGCGGCGUGCUUAACACAUGCAAGUCGAACGGAAAGGCCCUGCUUUUGUGGGGUGCUCGAGUGGCGAACGGGUGAGUAACACGUGAGUAACCUGCCCUUGACUUUGGGAUAACUUCAGGAAACUGGGGCUAAUACCGGAUAGGAGCUCCUGCUGCAUGGUGGGGGUUGGAAAGUUUCGGCGGUUGGGGAUGGACUCGCGGCUUAUCAGCUUGUUGGUGGGGUAGUGGCUUACCAAGGCUUUGACGGGUAGCCGGCCUGAGAGGGGGACCGGCCUCAUUGGGACUGAGAGAGGCCCAAGACGCGUAGGGGGGACAGCGGGGGGGAGUAUUGAACAGGGGGCGGGAGCGUGAGGCAGCAGCCCGGGGGGGGGAAUGGCGGCUUGGGGUGUGAAAACGGCUUCCGCUUGUGACGAAGGGGGAGGGAGGGUAAGGGAAAAAGAGGCACCGGCAAAUUUCGUG